UACGUAGGGUCCAAGCGUUAUCCGGAAUCACUGGGCGUAAAGCGUGCGUAGGUGGAUGUUUAAGUGUGAUGUUAAAUCGCGGGGCUCAACCCUGUCGAUGCAUCGCAUACUGGACGUCUAGAGGACGGCAGAGGCAAGUGGAACUAGUAGUGUAGCAGUGAAAUGCGUAGAUAUUACGAAGAACACCAAUGGCGAAGGCAGCUUGCUGGGCCACUCCUGACACUGAGGUACGAAAGCGUGGGGAGCGAACAGG
Molecule: ribosomal RNA, 253 nt
Filed under: uncultured bacterium
Lineage: Bacteria
Description: partial 16S ribosomal RNA
Rfam family: Bacterial small subunit ribosomal RNA
Source: RNAcentral